RNAcentral lists this small nuclear RNA (20 nucleotides) under Arabidopsis thaliana (thale cress). RNAcentral describes it as "snRNA_03200". Lineage: Eukaryota; Viridiplantae; Streptophyta; Magnoliopsida; Brassicales; Brassicaceae. The record is from RNAcentral.
UGCUCACUCUCUUCUGUCAA